GGCUGCAACUCGCCUACAUGAAGUCGGAGUUGCUAGUAAUCGCGGAUCAGAAUGCCGCGGUGAAUGCGUUCCCGGGUCUUGUACACACCGCCCGUCACACCAUGGAAGUUGGGGGCGCCCGAAGUUGGUCGAGGAAUAGAUUACCUAAGGCGAAACCAAUGACUGGGGUGAAGUCGUAACAAGGUACC
RNAcentral lists this ribosomal RNA (188 nucleotides) under uncultured bacterium. RNAcentral's name for it is "partial 16S ribosomal RNA". It matches the Rfam family "Bacterial small subunit ribosomal RNA", at positions 1303 to 1500 of the family's 1533-position model. The record is from RNAcentral.